This 187-nucleotide unclassified non-coding RNA is filed under the name uncultured Neosartorya. RNAcentral describes it as "sequence contains ITS1". The record is from RNAcentral. Lineage: Eukaryota; Fungi; Ascomycota; Eurotiomycetes; Eurotiales; Aspergillaceae.
CCGAGUGAGGGCCCUCCGGGUCCAACCUCCCACCCGUGUCUAUUGUACCUUGUUGCUUCGGCGGGCCCGCCGUUUCUGACGGCCGCCGGGGAGGCCCUCGCGCCCCCGGGCCCGCGCCCGCCGAAGACCCCAACAUGAACACUGUUCUGAAAGUAUGCAGUCUGAGUUUGAUUAUCAUAAUCAGUUA